GGGCAGGUAGCUCAGUCGGUAGAGCACGGGACUGAAAAUCCCGGUGUGGUCGGUUCGAUCCCGACCCUGCCCACCA
RNAcentral lists this transfer RNA (76 nucleotides) under Candidatus Scalindua sp. RNAcentral's name for it is "tRNA-Phe". It matches the Rfam family "tRNA". From Rfam's summary of the family: Transfer RNA (tRNA) molecules are approximately 80 nucleotides in length. Their secondary structure includes four short double-helical elements and three loops (D, anti-codon, and T loops). Lineage: Bacteria; Pseudomonadati; Planctomycetota; Candidatus Brocadiia; Candidatus Brocadiales; Candidatus Scalinduaceae. The record is from RNAcentral. RNAcentral also lists the same sequence under 1 other name.